This is a long non-coding RNA of Oncorhynchus keta (chum salmon), 398 nucleotides long. RefSeq lists it as uncharacterized. The transcript is spliced from 6 exons. NCBI's taxonomy places the organism in Eukaryota, Metazoa, Chordata, Actinopteri, Salmoniformes, Salmonidae. The record is from RefSeq and is a predicted model, not a curated record.
GAUCUCAAUCUCUCUGUAAAUGCCAUGUUUUAAGUUCUCUGUGUUUCACUCUCUUGUUGUGUAUUAACCUCUCUUUUGUUUGAGCACCUCCAUAGCACUUUGUCCUCACCUCCUUACCUGAAGCUCAUCUACAACCCCUCAGCUACAACAAACAUCUAAUUUGAAUAUGUGAUAACAACACUUCUCCCAUCAUUCAUGAAGGCUGAGGAGACGGGACUUGGGAGGGGGAAGGAAAGUUAUAUGGCGGUGUGGAAGGGGACCCCUUUUGGCUCAAGAGCACACCAGUGGCAAGUUGUGUGACCUCUUUAGAUCAUCUUUAUAUCUAUACAGUACAUGGCAGGUGUUGGUGUCCAAUUACAUCACAGAAGUAACCACCUUCUCAAUCAAUUGCUAUCUAA